CUCCGGCCGCCUGGCCGCGGGAUUUUCCGGUUGAUCCUGCCAGAGGUCACUGCUAUCGGGGUUCGAUUAAGCCAUGCGAGUCGAGAGGGUUCGGCCCUCGGCGUACUGCUCAGUAACACGUGGAUAACCUGCCCUAGGGGAGGGGAUAACCCCGGGAAACUGGGGAUAAUACCCUAUAGGUUACAGAUGCUGGAAUGCCCUGUAACCAAAAGCUCCGGCGCCCUAGGAUGGAUCUGCGGCCGAUUAGGUUGUUGUUGGGGUAACGGCCCAACAAGCCCGUAAUCGGUACGGGUUGUGGGAGCAAGAGCCCGGAGUUGGAUUCUGAGACACGAAUCCAGGCCCUACGGGGCGCAGCAGGCGCGAAACCUUUACAAUGCGGGCAACCGUGAUAAGGGAACCUCGAGUGCCUGUAAACGCAGGCUGUUCAGGUGUUUAAAACGCACCUGGAGAAAGGGCCGGGCAAGACCGGUGCCAGCCGCCGCGGUAAUACCGGCGGCUCGAGUGGUGGCCGCUUUUAUUGGGCUUAAAGCGUUCGUAGCUGGGUUGUUAAGUCUCUUGGGAAAUCUGGCGGCUUNACCGUCAGGCGUCUAANGGAUACUGGCAAUCUUGGAACCGGGAGAGGUGAGGGGUACUUCGGGGGUAGGGUGAAAUCCUGUAAUCCUCGAGGGACCACCUGUG
This 678-nucleotide ribosomal RNA is filed under the name uncultured archaeon. Its description in RNAcentral is "partial 16S rRNA". It matches the Rfam family "Archaeal small subunit ribosomal RNA", at positions 1 to 665 of the family's 1478-position model. The record is from RNAcentral.